This 484-nucleotide ribosomal RNA is filed under the name uncultured bacterium. RNAcentral's name for it is "partial 16S ribosomal RNA". It matches the Rfam family "Bacterial small subunit ribosomal RNA", at positions 28 to 523 of the family's 1533-position model. The record is from RNAcentral.
GACGAACGCUGGCGGCGUGCUUAACACAUGCAAGUCGAACGAUGAAGCUAGAGCUUGCUCUGGUGAAUUAGUGGCGAACGGGUGAGUAACACGUGAGUAACCUGCCCCGAACUCUGGGAUAACUGCUGGAAACGGUAGCUAAUACUGGAUACGACCUACGAAGGCAUCUUCUGUAGGUGGAAAGAAUUUCGGUUCGGGAUGGACUCGCGGCCUAUCAGCUUGUUGGUGAGGUAAUGGCUCACCAAGGCGACGACGGGUAGCCGGCCUGAGAGGGUGACCGGCCACACUGGGACUGAGACACGGCCCAGACUCCUACGGGAGGCAGCAGUGGGGAAUAUUGCACAAUGGGCGCAAGCCUGAUGCAGCAACGCCGCGUGAGGGAUGACGGCCUUCGGGUUGUAAACCCCUUUCAGCACCGACGAAGCGCAAGUGACGGUAGGUGCAGAAGAAGGACCAGCCAACUACGUGCCAGCCGCCGCGGUAA